GUUCAAUUUAGAGAUUGAAAUACAAUUAUUUAAGGUAAAUUACAUCUGUUUGAAAGUGAAACCAGUUUUUUUUUUUUCAUGCAGGCUCUGUCAGUCAUAGCCAGGGGAGGUGUGGCUAGGGCUGCAUAAACAGAAACAAAGUGAUUUAACUCCUAAAUGACAGUGAAUUGAGCAGUGAAAUUGCAGGGGAAUGAUCUAUACACUAAAACUGCUUUAUUUAGCUAAAGUAAUUUAGGUGACUAUAGUGUUCCUUUAA
Pelobates cultripes (western spadefoot toad) is the source of this 256-nucleotide non-coding RNA. NCBI's taxonomy places the organism in Eukaryota, Metazoa, Chordata, Amphibia, Anura, Pelobatidae. The record is from the annotation of a GenBank genome assembly.